Molecule: long non-coding RNA, 235 nt
Filed under: Solanum tuberosum (potato)
Lineage: Eukaryota; Viridiplantae; Streptophyta; Magnoliopsida; Solanales; Solanaceae
Description: long non-coding RNA (STUB_LNC011772)
Source: RNAcentral
AAGAAAAAUUUAGGGGUUUAGAAGAGAGGGGGUCGGGUUGGGCAGUGUGGGUAUGGAGUGAAUUGGUUUUAGAUUUUCUUAGUUGUUAGGGAUUAGUGUGGGUUGGGGAUGAAGAAAAAUAGAAAGGAAGAAACUUUGGUGGAAGAUUAAUGAAGGAUUUGGGGUCGUGUGGGAAGGAAUUUAAAGGGAGAAGAAGAAAUUGAAGAGUUGAGAGAAUAUGGAGAGUGGGGGUCGG